This 119-nucleotide ribosomal RNA is filed under the name Petromyzon marinus (sea lamprey). The record is from RNAcentral. Lineage: Eukaryota; Metazoa; Chordata; Hyperoartia; Petromyzontiformes; Petromyzontidae.
UCCUGCUACAAAAUCACCCUGAAUGCACUCAAUCUCGGUGGCUUUCUGAAGCUGGGCAGGUUGAGCCCGUGUAGUAAUUGUAUGGGACACUAACCUGGGAAUACCAGGUGUUGUAAGCA